This 3601-nucleotide long non-coding RNA is filed under the name Hordeum vulgare. RNAcentral describes it as "long non-coding RNA (HVUL_LNC016489)". Lineage: Eukaryota; Viridiplantae; Streptophyta; Magnoliopsida; Poales; Poaceae. The record is from RNAcentral.
UUCUUUUGAGUUUUGUGUGAUGAAGUUUUCAAGUUUUGGCUGGGACAACAAUGGAUGAAGGACUAAGGAGCAACAAGACCCUAAGCUUCAAAAUACCCAAGGCACCCCAAGGUAAUAUUCAAGGAAGAACCAAGCGUCUAAGCUUGGGGAUGCCUCGCAAGGCAUCCCCUCUUUCAUCUCCAUUCUAUCGGUAUGUCACUUGGAGCUCUAUUUCUAUUCAUCACAUGAUACAAGUUUUGCUUGGAGUGUCGUGUAUUAUAGUUUGCUUUUAUUUUAGUUUGCCACAAUUAUUGUUUGAUGGACACACAUAUUUGAGAGAGACACAUGUUCAUCAUAAUUUGUUAGAAUACUCUAUAUUGCACUUAUAUCUUUUGAGCUAGGCAGUUUCUCUAGUGCUUCACUUAUAUCUUUUAGAGCACGAUGGUGUUCAGAUUUAGAUAAAUAAUUGUACUAUCAUGCUUAACUUAAAUGUUUUUGGGAGUCUAAUAAAUAGUAAUGUAAUAUCCAUGUGUUAUAAGAUUAGUCCAAAAAUGAUAAGUAUUCAAGGGGGGCGUAAUAAAAACUUUCAUGUAGCUCACCAUAUAAGAGAACUGUGGGUUAAUUAUAUUGAGUAGUAUAUGGAAGGGCAUGAGUACAUGAUCAUUUGUUAGUAGAAAUAUCGGUAUUAAAGCUUGUUAUUUGUUACUCAUGUAAAUAUUGGUUAUGACAUGGUGAUGAUGUGUGAGCGUUCUUAUACUUGAUGAAAUCCUAUCGUGCUGUCCGAGUGAGGGGCACGCGAUGGUUAAUUCCUAUCAACCUCCUCCCUAUGAGCAUGCAAUAGUACUUUGCUUCGGGAGAGAUAAUAAGGCUUUACAAUAAGUAUGUGAGUUAUUUAUGACUAAUGUGAAUCCAUGGAUAUACGAACUCUCACAUCUUCAUAUUUUGCUAGCCUCCUCAGUAAUGUGCAUUUCCCAUUCUCUCCUCGAGAGUCGGUGCACCUUCGACGGUGCAUCCUAACCCCAUGAUAUCAUAAGCUCUAUAAAACAUAAGACACUCUAUAUAUUCCUCAAAACAGCCACCAUACCUGCCUAUCAUGGCAUUUCCAUAGCCAUUCCGAGAUAUAUUGCCAUGGAACUUUCACUAUUUCGACACAUGACUUGUGUGUUCAUCAUCAUAUUGCUUUGCAUGGUCAUGUAGCUGACAUAGUAUUUGUGGCAAAGCGACCAUUCAUCAUUACCUACAUGUUACACUAGAUCAUUGCACAUCCUAGUACACUCCUAGGGGCAUCCAUAUAGAGUCAUUUUGUAUAUAUUUCAUAUCAAGUUAUAAGUAAAUAAAAGUGUGAUGAUCAUCAUUAUUAGAGCACUGUCCCAGUGAGGAAAGGAUGAUGGAGACUAAACCCCCCCCUCACAAGUCGGGAUGAGACUCCGAACGAAAAAAGGAAAAGAAUAAAAAAUGAGAAAAGAAAGAAGAAAGAAAGAAAAGAUAUAAAAAGGAGAAAUAAAUGAGAGAAAAUAUAGAAGGGCAUUGUUACUAUCUCUUUUUACACACUUGUGCUUAGAGGGACCACCAUGUACUUCAUAUAGAGAGUCUCCUGAGUUUUCAUUUUCAUGUGCUAGUUGGAAUUUGUCGUUUUAGAAGUUGGCUUGUAUAUUACGAUGACGGGCUUGCUCAAAUGCGUGAGGUCUUCAUGGGCAAGAAAGAUGCAUUCACACCCACUUAGCUUUCGUUGAGCUUUUAUACACUUAUAGCUCUAGUGCAUUUGUUUCAUGUCAUCCCUAAUCCUCCCAUUGAAAUCGAUUGAUGGGCAUAUCCAUAGCCCAUUAGUCUGCCUAGUUGACGCGGGACUUCCUUUCCACUUUGACUCCUUUUGAUCUCUACCACCAUACUCUAUUUCACCCAUAUGCUAUAUCCAUGGUUCACACUCAUGUAUUGAGUGAGUUGAAAAUUCUAAAGCGUGUUAGAAAUGUGAUUCAAUUGCAUGACUUGACACCGAGGGGCUCAUGAUUUAUACAUAUGCAGUGAAGAUGGAUUCAUGCCAUGCUAAUAUGAUAAAAUGAGUAGGGAAUAACAUUCUUAAGGAUCAUAUAUUUUGGAUAUGAAUGAUUAUGCUUCUUAUGUUCAUGGAUUUUAUUAUGUUGAUAUCAAUUAAUUCAUCAUUACUAAAAGAUCGUACCUAAAAUAGAUUACAUGUUGGGUAGCAAGUCGCAUCAAAGAUACUAUUUUUAUUAUUUAGCCACUCAAGGACGAGUAGGAAUUAAGCCUGGAGAUGCUAAUACGUCUCCAACGCAUCAAUAAUUUUUGAUUGUUCCAUGCUAUUAUAUUAUCAAUCUUGGAUUUUUUAUAUGCACUAAUACGCUAUUUCAUACUAUUUUUGGGAACUAACCUAUUAACCUAGUGUCUAGUGAGAGUUGGUGUUUUUUGCUUGCUUUUGUUUUACUAGGAAAUCAGUACAAAACAAAGUCCAAACUCUACGAUUUUUUUGAUGAUUUUUUUCUAGACAAAAGAGACCCUCAAAGCUUAAGAAGGAGACGCAAUGACACACGAGGAGACGACAAGGCAACAGGGCACGCCUAGGGGGCAGGCACGCCUUGAUGCCUUGUGUGCCCCUUGUGGCUCCAUCUGACCUAAUUCCACCUUCAUAAAUUCUCUAUUAUUUAUAAACCAAUAGAGCGCCACCCGAAACACUUUUUUCGCCGCCACAACUCUCAGUUCCGCCAUGAUCCCAUCUAGAGAUCUUUUCCGGUGGCCCGCCAGAGGGGGAAUUGAUCAUGGAGGUCAUGUACAUCAACUUUGCUUCCACCAUGAUGAUGUGUGAGUAGUCCACCACAGACCUAUGAGUUCAUAGCUAAUACCUAGAUGGUUUCUUCUCUCUCUUUGAUCUUAAUGAAAAGUUCACCGCGAUUACCGCGGUGAUCUAUCCAAUGUAAUCCUAUUUCGUGGUUGUUUGUUGGGAUCUCAUGAAUUGUGGGUUUAUGAUCAGAUUAUUCAUGAAUACUAAUUGAGUCUUCUUUGAAUUCUUUCAUGCAUGAUUGUUAUAGCUUCAUAUUUCUCUCCGAUCUAUGUGUUUGGUUUGGCCCACUAGAUUGGUUUAUCUUCAGUGGGAGUGGUGUGUUCUAAUGGAUUCAAUCUUGUGGUCCUCAAUCCCAGUGGUAGAAAGAGACAUGGCACAUAUUUGUAUUAUUGACAUUAAUGAGAAAAUGAUAGGGUUUGAACAUAUUUCUGGUCUUACUUUCUCUACAUCAUGUCACCUUGCUCCAAGCAUUACUCUAUUUUAUACUUAAUACUCCAGAUGUGUGCUGGAUGGCGGUCGAUGAGUGGAGUAAUAGUAGCAAAUGCAGGCAGGAGUCGGUCUACUUGUUUAUGGACGUGAUGCCUAUAUACAUGAUCAUUGCCGUGAAUAACAUGUCAUAACGAUGUGCUAUUCUGCCAGUUGCCCAACAAUAAUUUGUUUACCCACCUAAUGCUAUGUUCAAGAGAUAAGCCACUAGUAAAAACUAUGGCCCUCAGGUCUACUUAAAUGGAUUUACUAAAACUCAAUUUACCUUGCUGCAAUUUAUUUAUUUUUAUAUUUAUAUUGUCUAUCUAUUAAUAUUUAAUCCUUGCAAGUAACAAGUUCAAG